CAAUAGCGUAUAUUAAAGUUGUUGCAGUUAAAAAGCUCGUAGUUGGAUUUCUGGUGGGAGCGAUCGGUCUGGCGCUUAGCGCGAGUACUUGCAUCGUCUCCGGCCAUCCUUGGGGAGAGUCUGUCUGGCAUUAAGUUGUCGGGCAGAGGAUCCUCAUCGUUUACCGUGAAAAAAUUAGAGUGUUCAAAGCAGGCUUAUGCCGUUGAAUAUAUUAGCAUGGAAUAAUAAGAUAGGACUUUGGUACUAUUUUGUUGGUUUGCGCACCAAAGUAAUGAUUAAUAGGGACAGUUGGGGGUAUUCGUAUUCCGUUGUCAGAGGUGAAAUUCUUGGAUUUACGGAAGACGAACUACUGCGAAAGCAUUUACCAAGGAUGUUUUCAUUAA
Molecule: ribosomal RNA, 383 nt
Filed under: uncultured eukaryote
Lineage: Eukaryota
Description: partial 18S ribosomal RNA
Rfam family: Eukaryotic small subunit ribosomal RNA
Source: RNAcentral